Molecule: ribosomal RNA, 261 nt
Filed under: uncultured archaeon
Lineage: Archaea
Description: partial 16S ribosomal RNA
Rfam family: Archaeal small subunit ribosomal RNA
Source: RNAcentral
AGGGUGUAAACGCUGCGGGCUUGGUGUUGGGGGUCCUUAGUGGGCGCCCAGUGCCGGAGAGAAGUUGUUAAGCCUGCUGCUUGGGGAGUAUGUCCGCAAGGAUGAAACUUAAAGGAAUUGGCGGGGGAGCACCGCAACGGGAGGAGCGUGCGGUUCAAUUGGAUUCAACGCCGAAAAACUCACCAGGAGCGACAGCAGUAUGAUUGCCAGGUUGAUGACCUUGCUUGACAAGCUGAGAGGUGGUGCAUGGCGUAGUCGUGU